This 107-nucleotide small RNA is filed under the name Marmota monax (woodchuck). The record is from RNAcentral. Lineage: Eukaryota; Metazoa; Chordata; Mammalia; Rodentia; Sciuridae.
GCCGGGCGUGGUGGCACACACCUGUAAUCCCAGUGACUGUGGAGGCUGAGGCUGGAGGAUCACAAGUUCAAGGCCAGUCUCAGCAACUUAGUAAGAACCUGUUUCAA